CUUCAUAAAAGAAAAGGCGCCUUCAUACAACAUGCCUCGCUGCCCUCUUCCCCGACGGCCUUUUCCUCGCCGCUUGCACGCCCCCUGCUGUCUGCGGCACCGUCGUUUGCCCACGCCCCAGCGAAUCCACUCUCCGCGUCAUUCGCGAAUGCAUCCACCGAUUCUAUCAGGAAAUCCAAACCCUCGAUCGCCAUGGCCAGAUUUGGGAGAAGAGAGACUCGCAUUCGUAUAUUUCCCGGUCGAGGAGUGGCUCUCUCCGCGGCGGACGUCCAGACCGUGUACCCGAUCCUCUCCAAUGUUUUGAGCCUCGAUGAGUCCGCCCUCGCCCAGAUCGAGAACCGCCCGGAAUUCUGCUCCUGCCUUCUUGAGAUCGUCACGGCGAGGGAUUCGGGUCGCCGGGAUGAUGUUCGCCUCCUGGCCUCCGUGUAUUUCUAGAACAGUAUCGGUCCGCUCCUGGAGGCCUCGCCGUGAUAUCCUGACAGCUGUCCCACUCGAAGCAUGGAACUUUCCAUGGUUUGACUGCUGUGAGUUUUACUCAGUCUGCCUUUGUGUGUUUUUUCGGAUUUAUUUUGAUAAAAAUCCGUAGGAUUAAAAAUCCACGAGAAUUUAGAUCAAAUCUAUUAAUAAAAUUUCUGAAGGAUGCACAAAUUGGAUGAAUUCGAAUGGUGAGGUACAACUUUAGAGUGCUCUGAUGGCAUAUUAAUGAAUUAUUACAAUUGCAUCACUGACUUGUUCCAUUGCCCUGCUCGCUUAUAAACAUAAUUACAAAUAGGUGCAUUGGAGAUGGGACAUGAAUUGAGAUGGUUCAAAGAUUAUGACUGCGGAGGGCCUUUUCACUUGAUCUCCUCUCCAUAAAAUUUGGGAUUUGAUAAUAAGAAGAUUUUCUAAUGACUUACCUUAAUGAUUUUUAUUCUAGCAUCUCUGUUUUUUGAUGCAUCCUGAUAUAUUUAGACUGCCUAGUGACCCUUUUAUCUUUUUGUUAUUGUUUGCUCUAUAUUUCACAUUCAUUUUUAAGAACAUUGUUUGCAAUGGUUGCCCCUGUUCUUAUACAAGUCACUGCUAAAGCUUCCAUUUGUUAAUUUGUUAUUUCUUCGCCCUUUAAGUACAGCUACCAAAAGCCAAGAUUGCCAAUAAAAAUUGUGGCGAUUAUAUUGAUGACGUGCAAAGAAAGCAACUUAAAAGGAAAGGAGAAAAAAGGUAAGAUAUAAAAUAACCGAAAAUAUGACUCCUGCCAAUUUUCUUGUCAUAAUGGAUUGAAUAGAUUUUGGUCUAUGCCUGAUGUACCUAUUUAUAAUUGCAUAAGGUAGGUGUAGUUCAGUCGAACGCUUUUGAUAAUGGUGCAGAAGAAAAAAAACCAGAGAAAUCUUCUGCAGCAUCUGCAUCUUUCCUUUCUCAUAAGCAUACAUUUCUUUUUAUGAAUACUUCUAUGUAGUCCCUUAAGAUGUCCAUUGUAAUGUUGUUCAUGAUAGGGGGAAUGAUAAAGAAUAAAUAUUGAAUAUUGUACUUUUUACUCGUUGAACUUGGACCCAAGAAUUUAAAUACCGGAUGGACCCUUACAUAUUGAUUGGUGUUUUAUCGGUUUUACCAAGUACUAGAAUAGAAGCUUAUAGCUUGACACUGGCUUUAAAUUAUUGUUAUUAUUUUAUUCAAUGACAAUGGAGGGUAUUAUUUGGUAUACUGCUUGGUGUCUGGUAUUGUACCGGUCUCAUAGAUUACUGAAACCCGUACGAACAAGUACUUAAAUCCAUGGCAGGACUAUCAACUUAGUAUAAGAAAGGAACCAACAAAUUCAAUGAUACGUCACACUGACUGUGCUGCACCGAGCAAGGUAAUUCUCUUGAAAGGAACAUCUUGAAAGAAUGUUUAAUAUUCUUGUUAUUAUUUCUUUCAUACACCGAAUUCUUCAUUGGCCUUGCAUUCAUUUCUUUCUCAUAUAUAUUUCAGAUCCUACCUGAUUCUCCAAGUUUGACUUAUUAAAGCUUUGUAUGGUGAUUACGUUGAAUUUAUCAAAUUCUGAUAGAAUUAAGCUUUUCAACUCAUGCAAACCUAGAUUUUGCAUCUUAUUGCAUCAGUCAUAUUCUACACUGAACAUAAUCAAAGUGGUGCUUUAUACUAAUUAUUAUUACUGCUGUUUGCAGCACAUGAUCACCUAUUUUGUAGUUCUUCACUAUUAAUUUACUAUGCUUAAAUGAAUAUGGACAUAUUUAUUAAUUAUUAGUCAAUCAAUUUCAUUCGAUCUGUAGUGCUUUUUUGUGGAGGCCCCUCCACUGAUUGCUGGAGUUCUUCAGGUACUUGAGCGUUCUAUUGGAUUGACAAAGCUUGCAUGGGCAUUAUACUUGGCACAUUUUCUCAUACUUCUGAUAACUGGGCCCUGCUUUCUAGAAACUCAUCCUAACUGGGCCCUGAUCAUAAUCCUUCCGUGACACCAGUGUGUGCUUCUUCUGCCACCAUUCUUGACAGGGUGUUGGUGAUGAAUACCAACUAUUUUGCUCAAUUAGCAUCUGAACCAUCUCUUGCUAUGGCCCUUCAGCAGGCAGGACUUUCCAUCAGCCAGAAAGUAAUUCUUUGUUUGGCUCAUAUAUGGGUUGAUAAGGUAUUUUGUAAAGGGUGUAGCUUGUUGACUUUUCGUCCCACAUUGCUCUGGAUCCAUCCAACUUUACAGACCUUUCGAAAAUAACAAUCACUGGAAGUACUUCAAACUCGCAGCCGGAUGUCCAUCUUGAAUGAAUGAAUGUUCAACUCCAGUUCAUUUGGCUGAAGGGAAUGUGUCCCUGAGAAGCAGGUAACACUUUUAGAUACCCUGCUACAUGGUGAUUAUUCAUAUUUGCACAUUUCCGUCAGUGGCUGUGUGGAACUUGGAAUGGGAAUUCAAAGAAAUAUAACUCGUCAUGGAAAAUAAUCUUUCUUGCGUGGGUAAAUUACCAAUUGUUUUU
This is a long non-coding RNA of Musa acuminata AAA Group (dessert banana), 2933 nucleotides long. RefSeq lists it as uncharacterized. NCBI's taxonomy places the organism in Eukaryota, Viridiplantae, Streptophyta, Magnoliopsida, Zingiberales, Musaceae. The record is from RefSeq and is a predicted model, not a curated record. The transcript is spliced from 3 exons.